Molecule: ribosomal RNA, 404 nt
Filed under: uncultured bacterium
Lineage: Bacteria
Description: bacterial SSU rRNA
Rfam family: Bacterial small subunit ribosomal RNA
Source: RNAcentral
AACGAACGCUGGCGGCGUGCCUAACACAUGCAAGUCGUGCGAGAAAGUUCCUUCGGGAGCGAGUAAAGCGGCGCACGGGUGAGCAACACGUAGGUAACCUGCCCCCCAGUCUGGAACAACUAGAGGAAACUCUAGCUAAUGCCGGAUGAGACCACGAUCCCUUCGGGGGUUGCGGCCAAAGAUGGCCUCUACUUGUAAGCUAUCGCUGAGGGAUGGGCCUGCGGGCCAUUAGCUUGUUGGUGAGGUAACGGCUCACCAAGGCUGUGAUGGCUAGCUGGUCUGAGAGGAUGACCAGCCACACUGGGACUGAGACACGGCCCAGACUCCUACGGGAGGCAGCAGUGGGGAAUAUUGCGCAAUGGGCGAAAGCCUGACGCAGCGACGCCGCGUGGGUGAUGAAGGCC